RNAcentral lists this long non-coding RNA (626 nucleotides) under Mus musculus (house mouse). RNAcentral's name for it is "predicted gene 4107". The record is from RNAcentral. Lineage: Eukaryota; Metazoa; Chordata; Mammalia; Rodentia; Muridae.
UUAGAAGACACUUCAGACUGUUUAAAUCUACUGACAUUUUGAAGGUCGGCGUCUCUAGAUUAUUCACAAAUCAACUGUUGAAUGUGACAGGGCUGUUUCUAAACAGCCCUGAAAGCAAUGUCAGUUAUAAUGUCAGUGUGUUCUGAGGGUUACUUUCGGAAGAUGUGGGGCCUGGUGUUUUAUAUCUGCUCAGAAGCAUGGAGACAACCUGCAGAGGGACUGAGAAGAGGAGUCAGGAUAGCUCAAGAAGCAGGCAGGGUCCAGACAGGCUUUCAGGCUGAGAAUGUUUCUUGGAGAAAACAAACAUAUAAGCAGAAAGUUAUCGUGGAGGCAUCAGAAUGAGCCAGUGUGACAUGGGAAACCGGAACCUUCUAUUUCAUCAGUUAAUCAACUCUCCACCUGUACUUCACCCUAACACAAUAUCCAUUUGGCCUGAAAAGCCUGGUGCUUUCUACCCUCUGCUACAGAAAGAGCCCCUGUAAGGUUGGAAGAGACUAAAUGACCUACCACCCAAAGUGCAUAAGAACUUCACAAGACAAUGACAGAGGCCAAGACUGUAAGUCCCAUAGACAGUAAAUCCACCCCGAUGCUACAGAGCACACAUUCCCCUCCCCCCUUUCAAGUUA